Molecule: long non-coding RNA, 1676 nt
Organism: Triticum aestivum (bread wheat)
Lineage: Eukaryota; Viridiplantae; Streptophyta; Magnoliopsida; Poales; Poaceae
Exons: 6
Source: RefSeq, a predicted model, not a curated record
CCCAGCCAUGACGCCCUCAAGCCGCCGAUAGCAGCGGCCCUCUCCCAAGCUACACUGCUCCUGAUCUUCGUCGCCCCACACCGUCGUACUAUGCACAGCUCAGCCUGGCCAUGAUGCUCUUAGCCCGCGGACGCUCACAGCGUAACCGACGGUGGUGACUCACUCCCAACCCGUGUUGCUCUCCAUCAGUGCUGACAGAUUAGUUUGUUUUACAGCGUGGGCACCAGGUCUCUGAGUAGUUUAAAUCUGAACGCAACACCAAGGCUGCCAGCCUGAGCAUUGCCGAACAGUACAGCAAAGCAUUUUCUGAACUUGCUAAAAGCAAACAUGGAAGCUCUCCCUAAUUCAUCGAUUAAAGGGAGGCAGGGGAGUUCCAGUUUGUGAGGACAGUGGUGACAUGGUUGACUGAAUGGCAAUAGGAAGAAGGCACAUCUCAUAUAAUUGUUUUAUUCAAGACAAGUCUACACUCUCUUAUGUCAAAUUUGAACAGAUUUCCCUGCCCUAGGCUAUUUCUAAGGGGGAGAGAAGAGUGUUAUUUUUUUGGGGAUUACAAAGAAUGGUAGCGCAUGAGGAGUAUUAGCCACGGAGGAGGGAGGAGACUGACAUGAGGAAAACAUAUUCUGGAUCGAUUUGGUUCUCAUGGUGGCAUCUUCCCUGCUUUCUCCUUUCUUUUUAUUUCCAACACUCUUUGGUACAGAGCGGUUAACAAACAACUGAACUGAAUAUUGCUUUUUCUCCUUUUCAGAUAAGUUAGUUUACAUUAGUUUUCUGUUUGCUUUCCGUAUGGAUCUAUACAUGUUAUUUUUAUAUCCAGUUUUCUGGGUGCUUUUCAAAAAGGGGGAGACCCAUGGCCGAUAUAGUUGCAUUAAGGUGCAAUUUGAUAACUAAAUACAUAAUAUAAGUCCAUCAAAAUAUUACAUGCAUGUGUGCUGUUUGUGCUUGUAUACCUUCAAUCUGCUUUGUGGAAGGCUGUUCGUAUUAAACUUUAGUGCUCGGUUGUUCAUCAUAGUCCCAUUCCCUUGAUAAUUAAUAUUGAAGCAAUGAAAAAUAGGUGAAAUUGCAAGAAACUUGAAGAAGUGGAGGAACAUGACUCAGUCUGUCAUUGGGGACAUGCACUGUUACAGAUACACUCUGUAUUUCUACCUAUCGUUGGUGUGAUGUUUGAACAUUAAGUUGUCAUUUAAUUAUGGCAUUCCCUUCUGCUUUUGUUUAUGCUAUAACAAUAGCCGCAAACUAUCUUCGGGACGUAUGGCAGGUUUGCUGACAAUCUGAUUGCAUUGCAGGUUUGGUACUAAUUUCUCAAAAAAUCAUGCUUUUGCAGCACCGUCUUGUUGAGCCAUGAGAUCUGAACCAAGGAAUCCAGAUAACAUCGACUAUGUUUAUAGAUCACUACAUGUUCCGUUGGAACAUUGUGAGGUCCUUUUUCCAGUUUGCUACUAAAUUCUCAAAAAAGAAACGUUCUUAUGCAUCACCAUCAUGUGGAACCACGAUACCUGAACCAAUGAACUCAGUGAACAUUUAUUAUAUUUAUUAUGGAUCAUUACAUGUUCUGCUGGAACAAGGUUCCUUUUCAGUAACAAGUUGAACGCGCGUCAUGCUUUUUUGAAUAUAACUGAAUAUCUAAAAUAGCCAUGGUGUACUGCUGUAUAUAUUUUAAAAUGGCAAGCUUGCAUCUU